UAUCAAUGCUGGGUAUUAUAUACUUAGUAAUUGGAAUGAGUACAAUUUAAAUCCCUUAACAAGUAACAAUUAGAGGGCAAGUCUGGUGCCAGCAGCCGCGGUAAUUCCAGCUCUAAUAGCGUAUAUUAAUAUUGUUGCAGUUAAAAAGCUCGUAGUUGAAAUUUGGGACUUUAUUGUAUUGGUUUACCUUUUAGUGAACUAUAUAAUGGGUUUCUUCCUACUAGAGUUCGAUUCUGUUCUUAACUGAAUGGAGUAGCUAUCUCUCGGGGUAGUCAGUUGGUUAUUAUAUCUCCACUAAUAAGCAGAGAGGAGUAAUCUUCAAAGUGAGUUAUGUGGGUCAAGGUAUGAUGAUUAAUUGGAGUUCUAGUUCAUUUACUUUGAGAAAAUUAGAGUGUUUAAAGCAGCCUCUUGGGGCACUGAAUACAUUAGCAUGGGAUAAUAAAAUAGGAUCUUCACAAUAUAUUUUAUUGGUUUAAAUUGCGUAUGAAGAUAAUGAUUAAUAG
RNAcentral lists this ribosomal RNA (503 nucleotides) under uncultured eukaryote. RNAcentral describes it as "partial 18S ribosomal RNA". It matches the Rfam family "Eukaryotic small subunit ribosomal RNA", at positions 477 to 875 of the family's 1831-position model. The record is from RNAcentral.